ACUUUUUAAGUACUAUAAGGUAUAUUUGAUUUCCAAUCAAAAGGUUUAAAAAAUUAAAUUAAAAAAAGUA
RNAcentral lists this transfer RNA (70 nucleotides) under Achelia bituberculata. RNAcentral describes it as "tRNA-Gly". The record is from RNAcentral. Lineage: Eukaryota; Metazoa; Arthropoda; Pycnogonida; Pantopoda; Ammotheidae.